CAACCAUCAAGCCCCCGGGCUUGUGUUGGGGACCUGCGGCUGCCGCAGGCCCUGAAAUCCAGUGGCGGGCUCGCUGACACACCGAGCGUAGUAGAUUUACAACCUCGCUUUGGGAGUGCUGCGGGUGCUAGCCGUAAAACGACCUUGUCUUUAGCACUA
This 159-nucleotide unclassified non-coding RNA is filed under the name Remersonia thermophila. RNAcentral describes it as "partial internal transcribed spacer 2". The record is from RNAcentral. Lineage: Eukaryota; Fungi; Ascomycota; Sordariomycetes; Sordariales; Chaetomiaceae.